AGGAUUAACGCUGGCGGCGUGCCUGACACAUGCAAGUCGAACGAGGCCGCAAGGCCGAGUGGCGGACGGGUGAGUAACACGUGACCAACCAACCUCGAAGUUGGGAAUAGCUCUGCGAAAGUAGGGGUAAUACCGAAUGUGGCCCAGGGCGGGCAUCCGCCUUGGUCUAAAGAUUCAUCGCUUCGAGACGGGGUCGCGGCCUAUUAGCUUGUUGGUGAGGUAACGGCUCACCAAGGCGAUGAUGGGUAGCUGGUCUGAGAGGACGACCAGCCACACUGGGACUGAGACACGGCCCAGACUCCUACGGGAGGCAGCAGUGAGGAAUCUUCCGCAAUGGGCGAAAGCCUGACGGAGCAACGCCGCGUGUGGGAUGAAGACUCUAGGGUUGUAAACCACUGUCGGAGGGACGAUCGUGACGGUACCCUCAAGAAACGCCCCGGCUAACUACGUGCCAGCAGCCGC
This 462-nucleotide ribosomal RNA is filed under the name uncultured bacterium. RNAcentral describes it as "SSU rRNA". It matches the Rfam family "Bacterial small subunit ribosomal RNA", at positions 26 to 518 of the family's 1533-position model. The record is from RNAcentral.